RNAcentral lists this unclassified non-coding RNA (2096 nucleotides) under Neodiprion lecontei (redheaded pine sawfly). RNAcentral's name for it is "rING-box protein 1A, transcript variant X1". The record is from RNAcentral. Lineage: Eukaryota; Metazoa; Arthropoda; Insecta; Hymenoptera; Diprionidae.
CUCGAAAGUCGAAAGCGUGCGACGAUCAGGCACGCGAAAUUGUCGUGGGUGUCAAAAUUAAAAAUGGCAUCGGCUAUGGACAUAGAUGACGAGGAGAUUGAUUUACCAACUUCCAGCAGCAGCAAAGGAGAGAAGAAACGUUUCGAAGUGAAAAAGUGGAAUGCUGUUGCUCUAUGGGCCUGGGAUAUCGUGGUCGACAACUGUGCAAUUUGUCGAAAUCACAUCAUGGAUUUGUGCAUCGAAUGUCAGGCUAACCAAGCUUCCGCCACUAGCGAAGAAUGCACAGUCGCCUGGGGGGUGUGUAACCAUGCAUUCCAUUUCCAUUGCAUCUCUCGUUGGUUGAAGACUCGCCAGGUGUGCCCGUUGGACAAUCGUGAAUGGGAAUUUCAAAAGUAUGGCCACUAACCGGAUGCUCACAGCUGACGCGAAGAACAGAACCCUCAAGAACUACGCGACCGACCCUGGUGUAAUGAAAAAACAAUUUCUACAAAAUUAUCAAAAUCUGUUACGACUGCUUUCACGUCUCUUCUGAAAAAAAAGAAAAAUAUUAUAAUAAUGCAGUUAUUUCAUUUCUUUGAUGGACCGCUCUUACGUCAUGCCUUAGCUGAAGUAUUGCCAUUCUCGACGAAGUUAUUCAAGUUAUUUGCUCUUCAUACAAAUACGUAACGAUCGUGUUUCCAGAUUUAAAGUCGUCGUGUCGCUAUUUUGUAAUUAAUAUAGGUAUCAAAACUUGAAUAAAUUUAAAUGACAAAUCGUAAGUAUACACAUUCAGACUUAUCUUAUAGCUGAAAUUAACAUGAACGUAUAUUAAUGCAAGCAUUUCCCUCGUGUAAUUUAAAAAGUUCAUUGUAAGCUGUGUAGCUAAACUGCUCGAGGCUUUAGUUGUGAGGUGUAUAGACUUGGAAAAUUUACUCAAAUACUUUUUUUCCUUCUGUUUCCUGGUAGCAAAACUGGCCGUAAAAUUAUUCACUAUUCAUAAUAAAAAUGGAGUUUCAGUCGGGUAGUAAUCACCCAAGGGAACAAUCGAUUUUUAUUCUUGUGUUACAUAUAGGACUUUAUUUCCGACUCAACUCUGGCCGCAAUAUUUAUUUGGAAAUUGUGACGUUUAAAUCAGGCUAAUAUUUUCCGUAAAUGCGUUUUAGGGAAAAAUAUGCCACUUUCGUCCCGCUUUUGAGGUAAAAAAAGUUGACUUAAUGGUUGAUUCGGGAAGAAAAUACGUUAUACAUUAUAUAUAUACAUACAGUGAAAUAUGAAUACAAAUUAGGACUAUCUAUCAUUGGAUGACCAUGCAUAUCAUCUUGUAUCAUUAUCUAUUGAUCUACAUUUACAUAUAUCGGAACACCCUAUGUUUGUGUUUUUCGACGUAUUUAUAUUUACACAUGGGAGUUAAUUCAGAUAGCGGCAAUAGAAAUUUGAAAAUAAUCGUUCGUUCACAAUGCUGUGUUAUACCAAUUAAUAGGUUUUUGAUAGAGCACGUACAAUAGACUUCUGCCAAAUGUCAAUCAUAUAAAAUUAUUUUAGCUACAUAGGUCUUUAAAUAUUGUUUUAUUCUUACGUCAUAGUUUCUUGUGAUUUUAUCUUAUAUUAAAGACCCUUUUUUUUAACGUAUCAAAAUUGAUUACUGUUUUUCUUUUUUUCUCGUUUCUUUCUUUUUUUUUCUUGUGAAACUUGACGUGCAAUUCCAUACGUAUUUAUGGAUAAGGCGAAAUAAGUAUGAUAAUAUGAUGUAGGGAGAAGGGGGUGAAGCAAUGAAUAACAUAAAAAGUUAGGGUCUAACAUUUAUGUUCGUAUUUUACUUGGCAUGCGGCAGUCUUCUAGCAGCUUUGUAUUAUAACAAUUGAAUAUACAUAUAUAUUCGAUUAAAAGUAUAAUAAUAAUAAUAGUAAACAAUACUGUAAAUUAAAUUAUAGAUUUAAAUAUUAUACUGGUAUGAAGUAGGUUUGUUCUGGGAGUGUGUUCUUGUGACCUCUCUCUCUCAAAAAAAAAAGAUAAAAAUUUGUGAUAUAUAACCGUUCUUUAUUUCAGUCUGAUGAUGUUAUACAAAUAAUAAUAAUAAUAAUGGCCCAUUUUGCCAGGGUCUCAAAAAAUAGUUAUAU